UACGUAGGGUGCAAGCGUUGUCCGGAAUUAUUGGGCGUAAAGAGCUCGUAGGCGGUCUGUCGCGUCGGCUGUGAAAACUCGGGGCUCAACCCCGAGCCUGCAGUCGAUACGGGCAGACUAGAGUGCUGUAGGGGAGACUGGAAUUCCUGGUGUAGCGGUGAAAUGCGCAGAUAUCAGGAGGAACACCGGUGGCGAAGGCGGGUCUCUGGGCAGUAACUGACACUGAUGCGCGACAGCGUGGGGAGCAAACAGG
RNAcentral lists this ribosomal RNA (253 nucleotides) under uncultured bacterium. RNAcentral's name for it is "partial 16S ribosomal RNA". It matches the Rfam family "Bacterial small subunit ribosomal RNA", at positions 524 to 776 of the family's 1533-position model. The record is from RNAcentral.